GCGGCAGUUUGCGUCAGAUAUUUGCGAGUGCCAUCGUUUUCCGCGGGGGAAAAAAACCCCGCGAAAAUGACAAAUCUGCAGACGGGAAAUGUGAAACGUAGUGAGUGAAGGAAUGACGUUAAGAUUACCUCGGGUCGCUAUUUCCGGUAAAUAUGCGCUUCGCUUCUUUGAUUUUUCCGCUAGUCGGUUUACUGGUUCUUGCCUUUACACGGCCCAGCACAUCACUGGGAUUUUCAUCGAAGCUGCGUUUCUACAAAGGCAUUCUCAUGCUCGGGAAGGACCGGUGCGUCAAUAGGUGCAAGCUCAAACAUGGUACUUCCAAGACUCGGCGGGUGAUUAUCAACUUGCCUCCGUGGCCAAAAGAGGCAUCGUUCCCGGAAAGUGCAUGUGCAUGGUAUCACGGAGCCUGAGAAUGUACAUUACUCAAAAAUUUGGCGCAGAGGCCGCAAAGAAAUACGGUCGCCUGAACUUCUUCGGCAGAACUCGGCAAGGUCGGGAGGAGCUGAAGAGGCUGGCUGGUAAGGACAAGGGGAUCACCUUCCUCACGUACGAGCAGUUUAACCAGAUGGUGGCGGAUCAGAACCAGCAGAAGACCAACGCCCAGCAGAGACAGCAGACCGGCGGAACCGCCCAAACCAUAAUACCCCGAAUCGCGGUGGACGAGAUACAAGCGGAUGGUUCGACGAAGCAGGUGGAAGUCGAGCUAACGCCCGAAGAAAUCCAGAGGGUACAAGGUUUCUGGGGGGAUGUCAUGGAGAGAAGGAGGAGGGAAGCGGCGGCGCAGACCGCAAAAGCCGCCUGAAGCAUUUGGCGAAAAACUGAAAAUUAUUGAAGGAGCAGCAAUAUUAUACUAAACUAGGGUAGAGAGAAAAUGCAGAAGGCGGUGGCAAGCAGAGAAAUGUACUGUUCCACGUCACAGCUGAACCUUGAGCCACCCUUCUUAUUCGUUAAUGGUAUGAAAAACUGAAAAUUAUUGGAGGAGCAGCAAUAUUGAACAAAACUAGGGUAUACAGAAAAUACAGAAGGUGGUGGCAAGCGGAGAAAUGUACUGUUCUACGUCAUAGCUAAAAAUGAAGCCACCUUUCUUAUUGGUUAAUGGUAUCGCGGGAAAACCGAGACAGCUUUGAAAUUUAGAAAGGAGCGGGAAAGGUUGUGAGGUUUCCACUUAUUUUGCGGCUCUAAAAACUCGUAACUCCUGACUUUUUAUAAUUCAAUAUAUUUUUCUACCAAUGUUUGGACUGUAACUGAAAAUAAUUUGUAAGUUAAAAAUUCAUAUUUCAUAUAUAAUAAAACAUUUUACCUCGAUUUGUACCGUUUUGAAGGUAUAACCAUGUUAAAUCACGUUCUGUACGUCAAAAAAGCUGAAAUUGGAGGGUCAUGGUGACUAAUGUACGAUUAUACGACUUCCAAUGUUAGAUUCAGUGGCGAUGUAGGUCUUUAUAUACAGGUUCCAUCAUGAAAUGCACUUUUAUUUUGAACAGCAUGGCAGUCCGUGUACUUUUCUACGUCAUAGCCAAUCUUCAAGAUGGCUGCCUUGCCCCACCUGUAUUUUCUCUAUGAAACUAGGGGGCUACACCCCCUGGCGCUUCGGGGCCCAACCCCCAAGGGGCGCCUAGCGCACUUUAAACCUGCUUUGCGUACUCUUGUACCUUUGACUAAAUACUAGCUAUUUGGGGCGUGAGAAGAUGGUUCCCCUGCACACUUCGUAGGUUCUCCUAUUUAUUUUUCCGCUGCUAAAGAAAAAAUAUUCUAGAUUGUGGUGGUUCACAAGGAACCAUUUAGGGAACGAACCUUCCGAAUUCGGAGGAAACCUUUGUUCAGCGGUUAUAUCAGGGUGGCAAAAUUUCAUGAAAAAUAAAAUCUUGAAACUUCACGUGAAGUAUUUCUUGAAAUGUCAGAAAUUAAUGAAAGAUAUUGAAAAAUACCGGUUUCAUUUCAUUUUUCGCAAAAUUUAAAAAUUGUGACUUUCUUCUACUUUUGUGUGUUUGAGUGAGGGUUGCGUACUCUAGCCUCUGAAAAAUAUGAAAUAUUUGACUCGGAUCUCCAAUCUUUCAUUUCUUUCCUACAUUUCAUGCCACCCUGGGU
RNAcentral lists this long non-coding RNA (2085 nucleotides) under Bemisia tabaci. RNAcentral's name for it is "lncRNA ENSASIAIIG000579". Lineage: Eukaryota; Metazoa; Arthropoda; Insecta; Hemiptera; Aleyrodidae. The record is from RNAcentral.